ACUCCUACGGGAGGCAGCAGUGGGGAAUAUUGCACAAUGGGCGCAAGCCUGAUGCAGCCAUGCCGCGUGUAUGAAGAAGGCCUUCGGGUUGUAAAGUACUUUCAGCAGUGAGGAAGGUGGGUAUGUUAAUAGCAUAUUCAUUUGACGUUAGCUGCAGAAGAAGCACCGGCUAACUCCGUGCCAGCAGCCGCGGUAAUACGGAGGGUGCGAGCGUUAAUCGGAAUUACUGGGCGUAAAGCGCAUGCAGGUGGUUUGUUAAGUCAGAUGUGAAAGCCCGGGGCUCAACCUCGGAAUUGCAUUUGAAACUGGCAAACUAGAGUACUGUAGAGGGGGGUAGAAUUUCAGGUGUAGCGGUGAAAUGCGUAGAGAUCUGAAGGAAUACCGGUGGCGAAGGCGGCCCCCUGGACAGAUACUGACACUCAGAUGCGAAAGCGUGGGGAGCAAACAGGAUUAGAUACCCUGGUAGGACUGC
RNAcentral lists this ribosomal RNA (472 nucleotides) under uncultured bacterium. RNAcentral's name for it is "bacterial SSU rRNA". It matches the Rfam family "Bacterial small subunit ribosomal RNA", at positions 335 to 798 of the family's 1533-position model. The record is from RNAcentral.